AGCGAACGCCGGCGGCAGGCCUAACACAUGCAAGUCGAGCGGCCGUAGCAAUACGGCAGCGGCAGACGGGAGAGUAACACGUGGGAACGCGCCCUUCGGUUCGGGAUAACUCAGGGAAACUUGAGCUAAUACCGGAUACGCCCUUACGGGGAAAGAUUUAUUGCCGAAGGAACGGCCCGCGUCCGAUUAGCUUGUUGGUGAGGUAACGGCUCACCAAGGCGACGAUCGGUAGCUGGUCUGAGAGGAUGACCAGCCUCACUGGGACUGAGACACGGCCCAGACUCCUACGGGAGGCAGCAGUGGGGAAUAUUGGACAAUGGGCGCAAGCUUGAUCCAGCCAUGCCGCGUGGGUGAUGAAGGCCCUAGGGUUGUAAAGCCCUUUCAGCGGGGAAGAUAAUGACGGUACCCGCAGAAGAAGCCCCGGCUAACUUCGUGCCAGCCGCCGCGGUAA
RNAcentral lists this ribosomal RNA (451 nucleotides) under uncultured bacterium. RNAcentral describes it as "partial 16S ribosomal RNA". It matches the Rfam family "Bacterial small subunit ribosomal RNA", at positions 29 to 523 of the family's 1533-position model. The record is from RNAcentral.